UAGAGUUUAGAGUAAUCGUUGCUGGCGUAAACGUGGUGUUUAGGCUGGGGUACUCAUUGAUAUUCCGUGACUAGCUGGACCGUGGUAGUAGUGAGGAACGUGACAAUUCCGAGUUACCUUUGUAGAUCACAUCUCGUUAGCAGGAAGGAUAGGGUUUAUAGGUGCGGGUUGAACAUCAUUUAUGGUGUCUAGAUUCCGUUAGCCUCCCUAUUAGAACAGUAGAUCAUCCUUACCAAGGUUAGAAGGAGACUACGGUUGCAGUCUUCUCUAUUUAUCACUCACAUCGAAAGACAUUCUUUGUGCCUAAAAGGUUAGUAGUAAUAGACCGGUUAGUCAGAUGCACUCUUUCUCCUAGUGUUAAAAAAAAUAAAUACGAUACUCUGGAUAAUUUCCCGGGUGAAGUGCUCACCGAUAUCCGUGCGCUUGCGGAUCAAUUCCUUAUUGCGUUCCCAAAUAUCAACAAUUAUCUAUACAUAUAUAUGUAUAAAUAAUUACAUUAUAAAAAAUAAAUAAUCAACAUAUAUAUAAAUCAUAUACAUUUUAAUUUUUGAGGGCAGUUAGUAUAUCAUAUGCAUUCAUAUAUAGUCCUUUAAGAGGUUUUCUAAACCCAGAGGUAAAAUAAACCUUGUAAGCAACUUGUCCCACAUUCUUAUGAUGUCAUUUUGGUCCACUUUUGCCCACUCCCUGAUGCCAAAUGGUGUCUAACUAAGAAUCUGAGUGCAUUACGCCACUUAGGUAUGGCCUCCGGAGGAGCUAGGGGCU
This 762-nucleotide long non-coding RNA is filed under the name Sorghum bicolor (sorghum). RNAcentral describes it as "long non-coding RNA (SBIC_LNC005186)". The record is from RNAcentral. Lineage: Eukaryota; Viridiplantae; Streptophyta; Magnoliopsida; Poales; Poaceae.